GUAGGGAGCAAGCGUUGUUCGGAAUUAUUGGGCGUAAAGAGCGCGUAGGCGGCCAGGUAAGUCUGGUGUGAAAUCCCACAGCUCAACUGUGGAACUGCAUUGGAAACUGCUUGGCUAGAGUGCGGGAGAGGAGAGUGGAAUUCCCAGUGUAGAGGUGAAAUUCGUAGAUAUUGGGAGGAACACCAGUGGCGAAGGCGGCUCUCUGGACCGCAACUGACGCUGAGGCGCGAAAGCUAGGGGAGCGAACGGGAUUAGAUACCCCGGUAGUCCUAGCCGUAAACGAUGGGCACUAGGUGUAGGAGGUAUCGGCCCCUUCUGUGCCGUAGCUAACGCAUUAAGUGCCCCGCCUGGGGAGUACGGUCGCAAGACUA
RNAcentral lists this ribosomal RNA (371 nucleotides) under uncultured organism. RNAcentral's name for it is "partial 16S ribosomal RNA". It matches the Rfam family "Bacterial small subunit ribosomal RNA", at positions 527 to 896 of the family's 1533-position model. The record is from RNAcentral.